GCGUCGGUGGUUCAGUGGUAGAAUACUCGCCUGCCACGCGGGUGGCCCGGGUUUGAUUUCCGGCCGACGCA
This 71-nucleotide transfer RNA is filed under the name Rhipicephalus sanguineus (brown dog tick). RNAcentral describes it as "transfer RNA glycine (anticodon GCC)". It matches the Rfam family "tRNA". Rfam says of the family: Transfer RNA (tRNA) molecules are approximately 80 nucleotides in length. The record is from Rfam by way of RNAcentral. Lineage: Eukaryota; Metazoa; Arthropoda; Arachnida; Ixodida; Ixodidae.